AGCAGCCGCGGUAAUUCCAGCUCCAAUAGCGUAUAUUAAAGUUGUUGCAGUUAAAAAGCUCGUAGUUGAAUUUCGGGAUUGACACAUCGGUCGUGCCUUAAGGGGUGUGAACUGGUGUAGUCAAUUUCUCACCUUCUGGAGAACCGCGAUGUCCUUAAUUGGGUGCCGCGAGGAACCAGGACCUUUACUUUGAAAAAAAUUAGAGUGUUUAAAGCAGGCAUUUUUGCUUGAGUACAUUAGCAUGGAAUAAUAAAAUAGGACGGCAUGAUUCUAUUUUGUUGGUUUCUAGGAUCACCGUAAUGAUUAAUAGGGAUAGUUGGGGGCAUUAGUAUUCAAUUGUCAGAGGUGAAAUUCUUGGAUUUAUUGAAGACUAACUACUGCGAAAGCAUUUGCCAAGGAUGUUUCAUUAAUCAAGAACGAAGUUAGGGGAUCGAAAGCGAUCGAGUACUACCGUCGUAGUCCUUAACCAUAAACUAUGACCGACUAGGAUCAGACGUAUUGUUAAUUUUUANGUACUCGU
This 520-nucleotide ribosomal RNA is filed under the name uncultured Entrophospora. RNAcentral describes it as "SSU rRNA". It matches the Rfam family "Eukaryotic small subunit ribosomal RNA", at positions 569 to 1079 of the family's 1831-position model. The record is from RNAcentral. Lineage: Eukaryota; Fungi; Glomeromycota; Glomeromycetes; Entrophosporales; Entrophosporaceae.